This 245-nucleotide ribosomal RNA is filed under the name uncultured bacterium. Its description in RNAcentral is "partial 16S ribosomal RNA". It matches the Rfam family "Bacterial small subunit ribosomal RNA", at positions 532 to 776 of the family's 1533-position model. The record is from RNAcentral.
GGGCUAGUGUUGUUCGGAAUCACUGGGCGUAAAGGGAGCGUAGGCGGGCGUUUAAGUUAGGUGUUUAAUCCCGGGGCCCAACCCCGGACCGGCACCUAAAACUGGACGUCUUGAAUAGUGGAGAGGUCGGUGGAAUUGGAGGUGUAGCGGUGGAAUGCGUAGAGAUCUCCAAGAACACCCGUUGCGAAGGCGGCCGACUGGACACAUAUUGACGCUGAGGCUCGAAAGCAUGGGGAGCAAACAGG